AUACGGAGGGGGUUAGCGUUGUUCGGAAUUACUGGGCGUAAAGCGCACGUAGGCGGACUGGAAAGUUGGGGGUGAGAUCCCGGGGCUCAACCCCGGAACUGCCUCCAAAACUUCCAAUCUAGAGAUCGAGCGAGGUGAGUGGAAUUCCAAGUGUAGAGGUGAAAUUCGUAGAUAUUUGGAGGAACACCAGUGGCGAAGGCGGCUCACUGGCUCGAUACUGACGCUGAGGUGCGAAAGCGUGGGGAGCAAACAGGAUUAGAAACCCUAGUAGUCC
This 274-nucleotide ribosomal RNA is filed under the name uncultured bacterium. RNAcentral describes it as "partial 16S ribosomal RNA". It matches the Rfam family "Bacterial small subunit ribosomal RNA", at positions 523 to 796 of the family's 1533-position model. The record is from RNAcentral.